GUACUCGCUUCGGCGGUACGUACACUAAAAUUGGAACGAUACAGAGAAGAGUAGCAUGUCCUCUGCGCAAAGAUGACACCAAAAUCGCUGGAAGCGAAUGACAGAACA
This is a small nuclear RNA of Schistocerca americana (American grasshopper), 108 nucleotides long. The record is from RefSeq and is a predicted model, not a curated record. Lineage: Eukaryota; Metazoa; Arthropoda; Insecta; Orthoptera; Acrididae.